AGCUCGCGUCCGAUUAGCUAGUUGGCGGAGUAAAAGCCCACCAAGGCGACGAUCAGUAGCUGGUCUGAGAGGAUGAUCAGCCACAUUGGGACUGAGACACGGCCCAAACUCCUACGGGAGGCAGCAGUGGGGAAUCUUGCGCAAUGGGCGAAAGCCUGACGCAGCCAUGCCGCGUGAAUGAUGAAGGUCUUAGGAUUAGUAAAAUUCUUUCACCGGGGACGAUAAUGACGGUACCCGGAGAAGAACGCCCCGGCUAACUUCGUGCCAGCAGCCGCGGUAAUACGAAGGGGGCUAGCGUUGCUCGGAAUUACUGGGCGUCGACGCGGCCG
This 329-nucleotide ribosomal RNA is filed under the name uncultured Caulobacter sp. RNAcentral's name for it is "bacterial SSU rRNA". It matches the Rfam family "Bacterial small subunit ribosomal RNA", at positions 228 to 571 of the family's 1533-position model. The record is from RNAcentral. Lineage: Bacteria; Pseudomonadati; Pseudomonadota; Alphaproteobacteria; Caulobacterales; Caulobacteraceae.